RNAcentral lists this ribosomal RNA (302 nucleotides) under uncultured bacterium. RNAcentral describes it as "partial 16S ribosomal RNA". It matches the Rfam family "Bacterial small subunit ribosomal RNA", at positions 508 to 807 of the family's 1533-position model. The record is from RNAcentral.
GCAGUAGCCGCGGGAAUACGUAGGGUGCAAGCGUUAAUCGGAAUUACUGGGCGUAAAGCGUGCGCAGGCGGUUAUAUAAGACAGAUGUGAAAUCCCCGGGCUCAACCUGGGAACUGCAUUUGUGACUGUAUAGCUAGAGUACGGCAGAGGGGGAUGGAAUUCCGCGUGUAGCAGUGAAAUGCGUAGAUAUGCGGAGGAACACCGAUGGCGAAGGCAAUCCCCUGGGCCUGUACUGACGCUCAUGCACGAAAGCGUGGGGAGCAAACAGGAUUAGAGACCCCCGUAGUCCCUGUCUCUUAUAC